This is a long non-coding RNA of Populus euphratica (Euphrates poplar), 432 nucleotides long. RefSeq lists it as uncharacterized. NCBI's taxonomy places the organism in Eukaryota, Viridiplantae, Streptophyta, Magnoliopsida, Malpighiales, Salicaceae. The record is from RefSeq and is a predicted model, not a curated record. The transcript has 2 exons.
UUGGAUCAAAAUAAAUAACCAAGCCGAUUAAUUUCAGUUUUGUUUUUUCCCCUUCCAAACCGAUUCAAACUGAAAUGCAAUGCCAAGAUGCCAUCCUUUAAGAAUCAACAACGUUGUCCUCAUUGUUACAGCUUCUUGCAAAGGAAAAAAUAAUUGCAAAAAAACAGUAUCAGUUUUUAGCAAUCACUGCUUUGAUUUUUCUGGAUACUCUUCAGCUUUUAACCUGAAAUAAUCCCUCUCAGGCAAUCGAGGUGGGAUCUUUUUAUGCCGUGACCCAAGAAGGAGAAUCAAGUAAAUCAAUGGAAGAAUCACCAGCAAUUCACCUUUGACAUGACAACUUUGAGAGAUAAGAGACAGAAAGCAUGGAAGUUGUGAAUGAAAAGGACCCUUCAAAUAAUGAAAGCAUUCAAAGAGUUAAUGGGAGGGGAGGGG